This 433-nucleotide ribosomal RNA is filed under the name uncultured bacterium. RNAcentral describes it as "partial 16S ribosomal RNA". It matches the Rfam family "Bacterial small subunit ribosomal RNA", at positions 29 to 507 of the family's 1533-position model. The record is from RNAcentral.
AACGAACGCUGGCGGCAGGCCUAACACAUGCAAGUCGAGCGAGACCUUCGGGUCUAGUGGCGGACGGGUGAGUAACGCGUGGGAACGUGCCCUUCUCUACGGAAUAGCUCCGGGAAAAUGGGACUAAUACCGGAUACGCUCUUCGGGGGAAAGAUUUAUCGGAGAAGGAUGGGCCCGCGUUGGAUUAGGUAGUUGGUAGGGUAAUGGCCUACCAAGCCGACGAUCCAUAGCUGGUUUGAGAGGAUGAUCAGCCACACUGGGACUGAGACACGGCCCAGACUCCUACGGGAGGCAGCAGUGGGGAAUCUUAGACAAUGGGGGCAACCCUGAUCUAGCCAUGCCGCGUGAGUGAUGAAGGCCUUAGGGUUGUAAAGCUCUUUCAGCUGGGAAGAUAAUGACGGUACCGGCAGAAGAAGCCCCGGCUAACUCCGUG